GGCCGCGGGAAUUCGAUUGGAUCGCCCUUAGAGUUUGAUCAUGGCUCAGGAUGAACGCUAGCGGCAGGCUUAAUACAUGCAAGUCGAACGGUAUUCGGGUAGCAAUACCUGGAGAGAGUGGCGCACGGGUGCGUAACGCGUAUGCAACCUACCUUUAACAGGGGGAUAGCCCGGAGAAAUCCGGAUUAAUACCCCAUAGUAAUUAUUGAUGGCAUCAUUAAUAGUUUAAAGUUCCGGCGGUUAAAGAUGGGCAUGCGUGCCAUUAGCUAGUUGGUGAGGUAACGGCUCACCAAGGCAACGAUGGCUAGGGGUUCUGAGAGGAUUAUCCCCCACACUGGUACUGAGACACGGACCAGACUCCUACGGGAGGCAGCAGUAAGGAAUAUUGGGCAAUGGGCGCAAGCCUGACCCAGCCAUGCCGCGUGCAGGAAGACAGCCUUAUGGGUUGUAAACUGCUUUUGUCAGGGAAUAAACCCUUGUACGCGUACAAGGUUGAAUGUACCUGAAGAAUAAGCAUCGGCUAACUCCGUGCCAGCAGCCGCGGUAAUACGGAGGAUGCUAGCGUUAUCCGGAUUCAUUGGGUUUAAAGGGUGCGCAGGCGGGCUAUUAAGUCAGGGGUGAAAUCCUACGGCUCAACCGUGGAACUGCCUUUGAUACUGAUAGUCUUGAAUUUAGUUGAAGUGGGCGGAAUGUAGCAUGUAGCGGUGAAAUGCAUAGAUAUGCUACAGAACACCGAUAGCGAAGGCAGCUCACUAAGUUAAAAUUGA
RNAcentral lists this ribosomal RNA (767 nucleotides) under uncultured bacterium. RNAcentral describes it as "partial 16S ribosomal RNA". It matches the Rfam family "Bacterial small subunit ribosomal RNA", at positions 1 to 743 of the family's 1533-position model. The record is from RNAcentral.